This 466-nucleotide ribosomal RNA is filed under the name uncultured bacterium. Its description in RNAcentral is "partial 16S ribosomal RNA". It matches the Rfam family "Bacterial small subunit ribosomal RNA", at positions 28 to 507 of the family's 1533-position model. The record is from RNAcentral.
GAUGAACGCUGGCGGCGUGCUUAACACAUGCCAGUCGAACGAUGAAGCCCAGCUUGCUGGGCGGAUUAGUGGCGAACGGGUGAGUAACACGUGAGUAACCUGCCCUUGACUCUGGGAUAAGCCCGGGAAACUGGGUCUAAUACCGGAUAGGAGCGCCUGUCGCAUGACGGGUGCUGGAAAGAUCUUUCGGUCAUGGAUGGACUCGCGGCCUAUCAGCUUGUUGGUGAGGUAACGGCUCACCAAGGCGACGACGGGUAGCCGGCCUGAGAGGGUGACCGGCCACACUGGGACUGAGACACGGCCCAGACCCCUACGGGAGGCAGCAGUGGGGAAUAUUGCACAAUGGGCGAAAGCCUGAUGCAGCGACGCCGCGUGAGGGAUGACGGCCUUCGGGUUGUAAACCUCUUUCAGCAGGGAAGAAGCGAAAGUGACGGUACCUGCAGAAGAAGCACCGGCUAACUACGUG